GCCUACGGCCAGGCCACCCUGAACACGCCUGAUCUCGUCUGAUCUUGGAAGCUAAGCAGGGUCGGGCCUGCUUAGUACUUGGAUGGGAGACCGAUGUGUUUCUGUUCAGUUGUGAGCU
RNAcentral lists this ribosomal RNA (118 nucleotides) under Pteropus alecto (black flying fox). The record is from RNAcentral. Lineage: Eukaryota; Metazoa; Chordata; Mammalia; Chiroptera; Pteropodidae.